AGCAGCCGCGGUAAUUCCAGCUCCAAUAGCGUAUAUUAAAGUUGUUGCAGUUAAAAGCUCGUAGUUGAAUUUCGGGAUCAAGUCGUCGGCCGUGCUCAGGUACGUACUGGCGUCAUUGAUUUCUCCCUUCUGACGAACCAUGAUGUCAUUAAUUUGGUGUUAUGGGAAAUCAGGACUGUUACUUUGAAAAAAUUAGAGUGUUUAAAGCAGGCUCACGCUUGAAUACAUUAGCAUGGAAUAAUGAAAUAGGACGUUCGAUCCUAUUUUGUUGGUUUUAGGAUCAACGUAAUGAUUAAUAGGGAUAGUUGGGGGCAUUAGUAUUCAAUUGUCAGAGGUGAAAUUCUUGGAUUUAUUGAAGACUAACUACUGCGAAAGCAUUUGCCAAGGAUGUUUUCAUUAAUCAAGAACGAAAGUUGGGGACAAGACGAUCGAUACCGUCGUAGUCUUAACCAUAAACUAUGCCGACUAGGGAUCGGAUGAUGUUAAUUUUUUAAUGAC
This 498-nucleotide ribosomal RNA is filed under the name uncultured Glomus. Its description in RNAcentral is "SSU rRNA". It matches the Rfam family "Eukaryotic small subunit ribosomal RNA", at positions 569 to 1075 of the family's 1831-position model. Lineage: Eukaryota; Fungi; Glomeromycota; Glomeromycetes; Glomerales; Glomeraceae. The record is from RNAcentral.